UCUCUCUCUUUCUCUUUCUCUUUCUCCCUCUCCCCUUAAUGGAGUCCCCAGAAGACUAUGCACAGGGAAGACUUCAGAGGAACAGGGGAGAGAUCUGCCUUCUGAGGCUGGGCCACUGAGGAAUCCCUGAGGCACGGAUCCUGCUGACCACUCCAAGCCCUGGGCCCUGAUGACACAGCUGGGACUUAGCUCUGCAGUUCACUGAAGAGGCUGGGAUGGGGGAGAAGGGAAGAGGGCGUCAGAAGAAGCUGGGGUCUGUUCAUAGGACCUAGGGUGCUUUUCUUCCUGUUCAGCUCUGCCCAGGGCUCGUGCCCCUCCCCCACAGCUGCACACAUACACCCAGGAGCAGAGGCAGCACCUGUCCAGGACUCCAAGCUGUACCCAGGACCACUGCCCAGGGAUGACACGGCUCACAAUGAUCUGGACCAUCCCACAUCAAUCAUCAAUCAGGAAGACUGCCACAAGCUUGCCCACAUGACAAACUGGCUUUCCCACACAAGCGCUGUCACACACGGCACAGGGGAGGAACAUUCCAAGCCUGUACCAGCCAGCUUCAUCCGUGUGCUAAUGUUCUGCUGCCUUCUCUGGUUCCUGCUUUCCUACCAGGGCCCUUCGUAAGUGAUCAGAGUUUAACAGAAGAAAUCAAUCAACUCAACUGCAGAAUAAAGCAAGGAACCAAGUGACCCAGUAGCUGUUGAGAGAACAUUGGAGGGGCUGGGGUGAUGCUGGCAAAGUAUCCCAUGCAUGCAUGAGGCCUGGAGCCUGAACCCUCAGCGUCUGCAUGAAAGCCAAACAUAGUGAUGCUCAUCUGCAAUCUCAGCCCCGGGGAGGCACAGAGAUGCAGGUACCUGGGGCUUACUGCCAUGUGUAUGCCCAUAUGGGAAAACAAGCAUUCCACACACACUAAAUAGAAAGACAAUAUUCUUAAAGAAGAAAAAGUCUCAUGUUUUUAGGUCAGUGUAGCUGUCCUAGGGCACAUGUGAUCACAGGCAGGAUAGACAAACCUAGACUAUACCAAGAAACUUAGGAGCCCCUAUAGUGAUGUAAGGCUUAUUGCUAUAGGGUCAGGUGUGGAGCUCAAUACUCCAGGACCUGAUUAGCCUGAGUGAAGCCAUGCAUUCAAUUCCCAGUGUGCUUUGCAAAUACCCCCCACCCCCAACACACAGACAAUUGCUAUAAAGAGGGAGUCAUUGUGAGAGUGUCAUAGUCAGUGUUUCUAUUGCUGAGACAAAAUACCAUGACCAAAAGCAACUUGGGGAAGAAAGGGUUUAUUCAUCUUAUACUUCUAGUAUUAACAGCUCACCACUGAGGGAAGUCAGAGCAGGAACUCAGGCAGGACAGGAACUGAAGCAAAAUGGCCAACUCCUCUUAGAUUGCUCAGUUUGCUUUCUUAUACACCCCAUAAUGGGCUGGGCCUCCUCGCAUCAGUCAUCAAUCAAGAAAAUGCCCCCCCACAGGCUUGCCCACCAGCCAGUCUGGUUGGGGCAUUAGAUCAUUUUCUCAAUUGAGAUUUCCUCAUUCCAAAUGACUAGCUUGUGUCAAACUGACAUAAAACUAGCCAGCUUAGAGUAAUAUUAGCACAAGAAUGAAACACAUCACUGGGCAGGAUGGAAAACCCAGAAAUUGUGUCUACAUUUUGUGGGCACUUGGUUUUUGACACAGUCAAGAAGGAAAUUUGACAGAGAAAUCUGCUGGACAAACAGUGCUGGAAUAAUUCAUGGGAGGAACGGAACAGAUCAGAGCCUUGGUCAGGCAAGUCCAGGACUGACCAGGGGUUUGGCUCAUAGCUGUGUGACUAUAUGGGCUACAGGUGUAAGGGACGGGGAGUAUUUAGCCGAUUAAUCAAGACAGACCCGGCCCUCAAUGACACUGACUAUUUAGGACAGGACUGUGAGCUCUCGGUAAAGCGCCAGCUCAUUAGGAUUUCAGGCUCCGAGGAAGGAGGUACAGUGUCCCUGCUAUUGGUUCUCAAAUGCCCCUGUAGUCCCGAAGUGUCCUGGACUGCGUGGGUGUGAGUGGGUCUGGCUGUCUUGAUGAUUUCAGAUCACAGGAGGCAGUGGCCCAUGGACCUCUGGUGGUAGCAUUCUGGGAAAGGGUUGUGCUGGCUAUGGUGGGAAAAACUCUCUCUACUGUGACUCAGCCAACAGGUAGCCCCUCAUGUUUCCCAUCCAACCACUAGUCACCCAUCUUGUUCUAGAACAGCUGGAGAUUCAAGUCAGCCCUGGGAGGUCCUCCAAGUCCCUGCUGAGGGCAUGUCACUCUGGUAGAACUAUAUGGUGUUGGGCUUUGUGGAGGGACUCUGCCUGGAGUGGCAGAGGAGCUAGCUGUGUCACACAGAGCACAAAGACAAGCCGUGUCCCAUCCCUUCCCAUCUCUUUCUGCUUAGUCAUCAGCAAGGCUUCCGUGAAAACAAUCACAGUUGUGCUGGAGACUGGGGUGCAGACAGGCACAGCUGUUCCUUACUUAGUGCUGUGUGGUUAGGCCAGGACAGUGACAGGUGCCAGCCUGUCAGGGACGCUUCAGGCAGAGGCAGGUGUACACUCUGCUACGAGUCAGUCCUGAGCCCAUCGUAAGCGGCUGGGCAGAUAACUGGCCCUGGAGCUGGAACUAGCCCCUUCUCAGGCUGGGGGAAGCAGCAGGCACUGUCCUUAGCUCCUCUUUUGAGGCCUGGCUGGAGCCUACCUUAGCAAAGAAAAUGAGAAGUGGUCAGUGAGAAAGGCCAUCCAGCAGGACAGGGGCCAUGCUGUCCAAAGCCCAGAUGUCUGCUGUGUUAGUAGACGCCCCUGCUUCCUGGGGGGUUGGUUGGUGGCCUUGACCAUCUCAGAGUCCUUGUGUGAUAUGAUUGCAAUAGCCAUUUGCCAUCUGAGGCCUGGAGUCUUUGAGAGGGAGUGAGGAUGAGGUUGUAACCUGCCCGGGAGACUUGACUAUCCUAUGCCUGUCUUCCCCAAGGGCCCUCAUCCCUCUCUAGAGUAGUAGAACCACUUAUGAGCCUAGGAGGAGAAAUGGGCUCAACUUGAGGGUCACUGAGCCUUGGUUCUAGGCUGUCUGCUUCUCCCACUCCUUAUGAACUCUUAGUUAGGUGCUUCUGAGGCUCCUAGACCUGGGGGGUGUGGGAGAAAAUGCAGAAUGACGAUUUGACACAAGGGGUGGAAAGGCUGUGUCAAGGUCAAGACAAGGGUGUGGGCAAGUCACUGGCUAUGGCCGGAGAUUCCUGAGGUAUGGCAGGAGACAGGGGUCUCCUCUGUCAUGAAAUUUAAGUUCUUAUGUGGGACACCAGCACAUGAUCAGGGAAGUAAACAUUCCUCAGAGCCACACCCGGAUGAACACCAGGCUCUUGCUAUAAGUCUGAGAUUUUUCUAAUGGUCUCCUUUGCCGAGAAGGUCCCUCCUCCAUUCUGGAGACCAUGAAUCUACUCUGUCAAUCACCAGGAACUGAGUACCUGUUAAGAGAAGUUUUUCUUUGCUAGCCGCUUUGGUUUAUCUCCCGCCAGUUGCCUGGGCUCUGCCGCUUUGUAGUCCCCAAAUAAACACACAAGACGCUGUAUUAAUUA
This is a long non-coding RNA of Mesocricetus auratus (golden hamster), 3550 nucleotides long. RefSeq lists it as uncharacterized. Lineage: Eukaryota; Metazoa; Chordata; Mammalia; Rodentia; Cricetidae. The record is from RefSeq and is a predicted model, not a curated record. The transcript is spliced from 4 exons.